AGCGUAGACGGCAAGGCAAGUCUGAUGUGAAAACCCAGGGCUUAACCCUGGGACUGCAUUGGAAACUGUCUGGCUCGAGUGCCGGAGAGGUAAGCGGAAUUCCUAGUGUAGCGGUGAAAUGCGUAGAUAUUGGGAAGAACACCAGUGGCGAAGGCGGCUUACUGGACGGUAACUGACGUUGAGGCUCGAAAGCGUGGGGAGCAAACA
This 207-nucleotide ribosomal RNA is filed under the name uncultured bacterium. RNAcentral describes it as "partial 16S ribosomal RNA". It matches the Rfam family "Bacterial small subunit ribosomal RNA", at positions 568 to 774 of the family's 1533-position model. The record is from RNAcentral.